GCGCCCGUAGCUCAGUUGGAUAGAGCGGCGGUCUCCGAAGCCGCAGGUCAGAGGUUCGACCCCUCUCGGGCGCGCCA
This 77-nucleotide transfer RNA is filed under the name Planctomycetota bacterium. RNAcentral describes it as "Planctomycetes bacterium (freshwater metagenome) tRNA-Arg". It matches the Rfam family "tRNA". Rfam says of the family: Transfer RNA (tRNA) molecules are approximately 80 nucleotides in length. Lineage: Bacteria; Pseudomonadati; Planctomycetota. The record is from RNAcentral. RNAcentral also lists the same sequence under 1 other name.